This 253-nucleotide ribosomal RNA is filed under the name uncultured bacterium. Its description in RNAcentral is "partial 16S ribosomal RNA". It matches the Rfam family "Bacterial small subunit ribosomal RNA", at positions 524 to 776 of the family's 1533-position model. The record is from RNAcentral.
UACAUGGGGUGCAAACGUUGCUCGGAAUCAUUGGGCGUAAAGCGCGCGUAGGCGGUUACACAAGUUGGAUGUGAAAGCCCUCGGCUUAACUGAGGAAGUGCAUCCAAAACUGUGCAGCUAGAGUACUAAAGAGGGUCGCGGAAUUCCCGGUGUAGAGGUGAAAUUCGUAGAUAUCGGGAGGAACACCGGUGGCGAAGGCGGCGACCUGGGUAGAUACUGACGCUGAUGCGCGAAAGCGUGGGGAGCAAACAGG